AGCUUGCUGCGGGUACUCGAGUGGCGAACGGGUGAGUAACACGUGGGUGAUCUGCCUUGCACUUCGGGAUAAGCUUGGGAAACUGGGUCUAAUACCGGAUAGGACAGCUGUUUAGUGUCAGUUGUGGAAAGUUUUUUCGGUGCAAGAUGAGCUCGCGGCCUAUCAGCUUGUUGGUGGGGUAAUGGCCUACCAAGGCGUCGACGGGUAGCCGGCCUGAGAGGGUGUACGGCCACAUUGGGACUGAGAUACGGCCCAGACUCCUACGGGAGGCAGCAGUGGGGAAUAUUGCACAAUGGGCGGAAGCCUGAUGCAGCGACGCCGCGUGGGGGAUGAAGGCCUUCGGGUUGUAAACUCCUUUCGACAGGGACGAAGCGUAAGUGACGGUACCUGUAUAAGAAGCACCGGCUAACUACGUGCCAGCAGCCGCGGUAAUACGUAGGGUGCGAGCGUUGUCCGGAAUUACUGGGCGUAAAGAGCUCGUAGGUGGUUUGUCGCGUCGUCUGUGAAAUUCCGGGGCUUAACUCCGGGCGUGCAGGCGAUACGGGCUGACUUGAGUGCUGUAGGGGAGACUGGAAUUCCUGGUGUAGCGGUGAAAUGCGCAGAUAUCAGGAGGAACACCGAUGGCGAAGGCAGGUCUCUGGGCAGUAACUGACGCUGAGGAGCGAAAGCAUGGGUAGCGAACAGGAUUAGAUACCCUGGUAGUCCAUGCCGUAAACGGUGGGCGCUAGGUGUAGGGGGCUUCCACGUCUUCUGUGCCGUAGCUAACGCAUUAAGCGCCCCGCCUGGGGAGUACG
Molecule: ribosomal RNA, 794 nt
Filed under: uncultured Actinomycetes bacterium
Lineage: Bacteria; Bacillati; Actinomycetota; Actinomycetes
Description: bacterial SSU rRNA
Rfam family: Bacterial small subunit ribosomal RNA
Source: RNAcentral